UCAAGCUACAAAGAGCACAAGGGGAAUGCCUUGGCACCGAGAGCCGAAGAAGGACGUGACUAACUGCGAUAAGCUGCGGGGAGCCGUAAGUAGGCUUUGAUCCGCAGAUUUCCGAAUGGAGCAAUCCGGCAAGAGGAAAGUCUUGUCAUCAUAUACUGAAUACAUAGGUAUAUGAGGGGAACCGCCUGAACUGAAACAUCUAAGUAGGGCGAGGAAGAGAAAUCAACUGAGAUUCCGUAAGUAGUGGCGAGCGAACGCGGAAGAGGCCAAACCGAGAGUAGUAAUACUUUCGGGGUUCGGACAGAAUACGGCAUUGUAAAGGUUUAGUGGAAUGGAAUGGGAAGUCCAACCGAAGAAGGUGAGAGUCCUGUACACGAAAAGCCUGAACAGCCAUCUGUAUCCAGAGUACCGCCGGACACGUGAAACCCGGUGGGAAUACGGGGGGACCAUCCUCCAAGCCUAAAUACUACUCGGUGACCGAUAGUGAAGAAGUACUGUGAAGGAAAGGUGAAAAGUACCCCUGACGGGGAGUGAAAAAGAACCUGAAACCUUGUGUUUACAAGCACCGAAAGCUCAUCAAAGAGCGAUCGGGUACCUUUUGUAGAAUGGUCCGGCGAGUGAAUGUAACCGGCGAGGUUAAGCACUUAAGGUGUGAAGCCGCAGCGAGAGCAAGUCUGAAUAGGGCGUAUGAAGUCGGUUGUAUUCGACCCGAAACCGGGUGACCUACCCAUGGUCAGGUUGAAGUAAAGGUAAAACUUUAUGGAGGACCGAACCGACUCCCGUUGAAAUGGUAGCGGAUGAACUGUGGGUAGCGGAGAAAUUCCAAUCGAACCCGGAGAUAGCUGGUUCUCUCCGAAAUAGCUUUAGGGCUAGCCUUGAAAUAGAUUACCGGAGGUAAAGCACUGAAUUGGCUAGGGGCCGAGAGGUUACUGAACCUUAUCAAACUAAGAAUGCCGGAUAAUCGUUUUUCAGGAGUCAGACAGUGGGAGAUAAGUUUCAUUGUCAAAAGGGAAACAGCCCAGACCCACAGCUAAGGUCCCCAAGUAUAGUUAAGUGGAAAAGGAUGUGGAAUUGCACAGACAACCAGGAUGUUGGCUUAGAAGCAGCCACUCAUUAAAAGAGUGCGUAAUAGCUCACUGGUCGAGUGACUCUGCGCGGAAAAUAUAACGGGGCUAAGCAUGAAACCGAAGCUUGGGCUUGUACUUAGGUACAGGGGUAGGGGAGCGUCGAGUAUGGGGUGAAGUCAGAGCGGAAGCACUGGUGGACUGUACUGGAGUGAGAAUGCCGGAAUGAGUAGCGAGAAUUAUGUGGGAAUCAUAAUGGCCGAAAAUCUAAGGUUUCUUGGGGAAGGUUCGUCCGCCCAAGGUAAGUCGGGAGCUAAGCUCAGGCCGAGAGGCGUAGGCGAUGCACAUACGGUAGAAAUUCCGUAACCACCGAAACUUAAACAGAGGGACACUUCGAAAUAGCGGAACCCGGGCGUUGGUUGACCCGGGCGUAAGGGAGCGAAAUUAGAGUAGCGAAGUCCGCGAUGUUCGGAGGCGAGAAAAGCUCUGAGGUAUGCUAAGGUGCCCGUACCGCAAACCGACACAGGUAGAUGAGGAGAGAAUCCUAAGGCCAACGGGAGAAGGGUUGUUAAGGAACUCGGCAAAUUGACCCCGUAACUUCGGAAGAAGGGGAGCCCCCUACGGGGGGUCGCAGAGAAAUGGCCCAAGCAACUGUUUACCAAAAACACAGGUCUAUGCUAAAUCGAAAGAUGACGUAUAUGGGCUGACGCCUGCCCGGUGCCGGAAGGUUAAGAGGAGAUGUCAGGCAACGAAGCAUUGAAUUUAAGCCCCGGUAAACGGCGGCCGUAACUAUAACGGUCCUAAGGUAGCGAAAUUCCUUGUCAGGUAAGUUCUGACCCGCACGAAAGGCGUAAUGAUUUGGGCGCUGUCUCGACAAUGUACUCGGCGAAAUUGUAGUACUAGUGAAGAUGCUAGUUACCUGCGACAAGACAGAAAGACCCCAUGGAGCUUUACUGUAGCUUGAUACUGGGUUUCGAUAAUUUAUGUACAGGAUAGGUGGGAUGCAAAGAAGCAAGUGCGCCAGCAUUUGUGGAGCAGACGUUGGGAUACCACCCUUAAGUUAUUGGAAUUCUAACCUGUAGUCAUGAACUGGCUAGGGGACAAUGUCAGGCGGGCAGUUUGACUGGGGCGGUCGCCUCCAAAAGAGUAACGGAGGCGCGCAAAGGUUUCCUCAGCGCGGACAGAAAUCGCGCAAGAGAGUGCAAAGGCAGAAGGAAGCUUAACUGAGAGACUGACAAGUCGACCAGAUACGAAAGUAGGUCUUAGUGAUCCGGCGGUAGUGAGUGGAAAUGCCGUCGCUCAACGGACAAAAGUUACCCUGGGGAUAACAGGCUUAUCUCCCCCAAGAGUUCACAUCGACGGGGAGGUUUGGCACCUCGAUGUCGGCUCAUCGCAUCCUGGAGCGGAAGUACGUUCCAAGGGUUGGGCUGUUCGCCCAUUAAAGCGGUACGCGAGCUGGGUUCAGAACGUCGUGAGACAGUUCGGUCCUUAUCUGUCGCAGGCGUAGGAUAUUUGAAGGGAGCUGUCCUUAGUACGAGAGGACCAGGAUGGAGAUACCGAUGGUGUAUCAGUUGUCACACCAGUGGCAUGGCUGAGUAGCUAAGUAUCGAUGGGAUAAACGCUGAAAGCAUCUAAGUGUGAAGCCCACCCUAAGAUAAGAUGUCCCAUACCGUAAGGUAGUAAGAUUCCACGUAGACUAUGUGGUUGAUAGGUUGGAGGUGUAAGUGCAGUAAUGUAUUGAGCUGACCAAUACUAAUAAAUCGAGGGCUUAACCAC
This 2840-nucleotide ribosomal RNA is filed under the name human gut metagenome. RNAcentral describes it as "bacterial LSU rRNA". It matches the Rfam family "Bacterial large subunit ribosomal RNA". The record is from RNAcentral.